GCUCGCACCACCAGUCAAAUUUGGUCCUCCACCACUCUGGUUCUCCACCUAGGGAGGGGUGGAAGUGCCAAACCUGAGUGACGCUGAGCUCACGUGGGACAGUUCGCCAUACCUGGAGUGUGCAAUCAGGCCCAGCUCAAUUCAGCCCACUGUGGGGCAAACUCACUGUCCAGCCCUGCUCCCUAAGGGACCUCAGCUCCUCUCUGCUUUCUGUGACAUCCUUGUUUUCCCCCACCUCUGCUGUGACAUUUAUUAAAAUUCACCAUGAAAAGAAUCAUAGCCUCAACCAUACCCCGUCCUCCCUACACUUUGUCCAGCCCUCACAGUCUGCCCUUGCCCUUACAUCCCUUUUCAUUGUUCCAGUUCCCUUGUUUCUAGCAUCCUCCCUCUCCUAUUCCACCUUGCAGCGCCUCUGCUUUUCGUCCCUCAGAAGCCCCGUCCCAUUUUUCCUGUCACACCUCUCUUCCUUCGUGGUUCCCUCUUCUGCUGUCCUCCAUUUCUGUUUGCCCCUCUGCCACUUUCUCUGGCAUGCUCUACAGGUACCAUAACAUCCAUCUGAGAAUAGCUCUGGUGUUUCCCCUAGUCUCCUUAUCCACCCCAGAAUCCAUUUCUUCUUCCCACCAGGCAGAGCCAGGUCCAACAGAGCCCGUUGGCCUGUUUGACAGGGGGGCUCCAGUUAUUCAGAGUUGUGAGAGGGAGAAAGAGGAUGGAGAGGAGGUUCUGGGGAAGGGACAAGCCUCUCCCUUGUGAGCUAAAGAGCAAUUCCCUCCACUGUGGGAAAGUAGCAGGCUUAGCCUGUACGGGGAGACUUUGGCAAACCAGUAAAGUGCCUGAAACCACUAUGGCUUAUUACUAAAAGCAGCCAAGUCAGCAGGCUUAGCUUAACCAAGGCAGGAGGGGAAGGAGGUUUUGGGUGACCCUGCGUCCUUCCUGAUAAGAAUUGUGUUGAAGUUGCUGAUAUAUGCAUCUUAGAAGAGCAGGAUGUGCCCCAGGAAUGUCUAUUGGGGCCUCAAACCCACACCUGGUUAAUCAAUAAUCAGAAGGAACCUCUUGCUUGACCAUUGAAACCGCUUACUUAACAAGUUUUGCUUUAAAGGACAUGUCAUUCUAUUACUAAUGUAUAAAUAAGGGCGAAAAGUUUGAGGUAGGGGGACUCUUCAGGACUGGACUCUCUCUCUCCGGAUGCAUCUUGCGUUUCCCAGCAGCAGACAGGCUGCCGCUGUGCCACUCGAGAGCCACGCUCAGCUUUGUUUACAGCUUUUACACUAGCUCUUUCGGAAGGCACAAAUGAUUUCUCAGCAAUAAAAUCCCCAGUGGACACAUCUGUUGGCUCGGGAAACAGCACAGGAGACAGACAGAGGCGGUUGGCUUGAGAUCCCAUUGUUCACACAACUUUAAAAGAAGAAGAAGAAGAAGUUAUGCUUGGGCAAUGGUCCACAACUGGCUGGAGGGAAAAAAUAGAUUGACAUAAGGCCUGGACAUACUGUAAAAAAGAAACCACAAUACGAUAAUCAAGACUCACAGGACAAACUGCCAAAAAGGAACACAGCAGAGAGACAAGCACAACCGACAAGAGGGCUGGAUUGAGGGGUACUAAAUUCCCCAAAUACUUUGACUUCUGUUUCAUUAGAAAUGAGGGCUGAGGGUGGGAGACCAGAAAGCGAGUGUGAAAAAUCGGGACACUUUUUUUUCGGGGGUGGGUGGGGAGGGUAUAGCUGGAUCUCUCAGACAAAACCCCAAAUAUCAGGACAGCCUCGCUAAAAUCAGGAUGUCUGAUCACCCUGGCUGAGGGGUGAAUCUAACUCACAACAGGAGAACAUGGAGAAAUGCCAUGGAACCAAAUUUUUAAGGAGAAUUUUGAGAUACUAAUUUUAAAAACCGUAUAUAUUUUUAAGUAUAGAACGAACCAUUUUUAUUGGGCUUCCAUGCGCCUCAGUUUCACCAUCUGUAAACUGGGGAUAAUAAUACUGACCUCCUUUGUAAAGUACGCUGAGAUCUACUGAAGUAAAAGUGCUAUAUAAGAGCUAGGUGGUAGGAUUUUAAUGCAGAAUGACAGUAAAGCUUUUCAGCUCCAAGUCCCACUGUGCAAAGAAAUGAGCUGGUUGAAACUUUUCCAUUAAAACUGGAGGGUUUUGUUUGUUUGGGGUUUUUUUGUCAAAAAAUGGGUUUUCAAUCAAAUGAAAAGGUUUCUGGAAAGUGUCUGAUUUCCUCAAAAACUGAUUAUCAGAAAAUUGAAAACCUCAGAAAUGAAAUGUUAUGUCGGAAAACACUGAGGUUUUCAUUUUUUGAGGAAAAGGAGAAAUUUUUCACUGAAAAUUUUGACAAAAACAAUGUUUAUUUGUUAGUUAAUUAUCAGCUACAUUUUCCAUAGGGGAAAAAAAGACAUUUUCCAACCAGCUUUAUUAAAUAGGCCAUCCUUCCCUCAGUAAAUUUACAGUGUACAAAAAAACUGAGGCUGAAGAUGGCAGGAGAGCGGUGGGAAAAUGACAUUUGAUUAAACUGAUUUUGUUAGUGAAAUCGUAUCAAUUUUUACUAAACUUUGUUUUAAAAAAAAUUGGAAAAAAGUUUUGAAAGCUUCAAAAUGUCCCAUUUUGACAUUUUCAGAAUGAAACAUUUCAACUUUUUGUUUAACAAUUUACUUUAUUUUAUAUUGAAAAAAUACUAAAAUAAAAAAGGAUCAAAAUUAUUUUUCAGAUUUUCAUUUCAAGAAAAAUUUCAAAAUUUUGGAGCUUCAGUCCAAUUCAGGAUUUCUUUUUUAAAUCUUGAAAUUUUUUGCAGGACACAAAAU
Long non-coding RNA from Caretta caretta (loggerhead turtle), 2788 nucleotides. RefSeq lists it as uncharacterized. The record is from RefSeq and is a predicted model, not a curated record. NCBI's taxonomy places the organism in Eukaryota, Metazoa, Chordata, Testudines, Cheloniidae.